UCAACUGCCUGUUCCUGUUCUCGCGGGCUCAUCAGCGACCCCGCCGCUGUCUGACAAGAGGUGACCGCCACAAUAAUGUCAGUAAAUUGUGGACGGGCUACGUUGGCGCCUAACUCACGCCCACACUCGGACUGCCUUGGUCGUUGACGCAAACGACACUUUUCACUGUGUUUGGCUCUACAUGUAACAAAUCAAGCUAAACAGUGGCCACUCUUUCAGGUUUAAUGAACGUUUUCGUAAUUCCUAACGUCCUGGGGGUGAGCACGUGUGCCUCGUAUACAGGAAGUUUCUGCUGAUGUGUAGGAUCCCGUGGGCACCUUAGAGGGCAGACUGUGUCCUCGAUGCCUGAUGAGCCAGCACCAGACCUGCUAACCACAUUCUUGAGAGAAAAAUGGUGUCUGCCAGAGAUCAGGCAGUAACACUGGAGAAUCUCCAAUCUGCAAUGACCCCACCAGCUCAAAGAUCAAAAUUGAGAAUGAAAUUAUCUAAAGCUGACCUCAAGCUUCUUGUGAUGAAUAACUCUGCAGGAUUCUUUCCCGUUAAGUAUCAGAUCACUUUUUUGCAAUGCUGUCUCCUUACAAUUCCUUAUUUUUUUCUUUGAAAUUUUGUCCAAUUUUCUCUGCCAAUUUGUUGGAUGAAGGAAGGAAAAAAGCAGACAUCACACGAUAUAAACACGAGAAAAUCAGCAGAUGCUGGAAAUCCAAAGCAAUGCACUCAAAGUGCCGGAGGAACUCAGUAUCCAUGGAUAUGAACAGUCAAUGUUUCUGGCCGAGACCCUUCUUCAGGACUGUCACUGUCACAUGAUUUAUACUACCUUGAAAUCCUUGAAUUCCAGUUUGUGAAGCAACUUCAAUUGUCUCAUACUAACUGACAAGGCAAUCUUUAAACACUAAUCCUUUUUAAUUGUAGCACAUAAUGUUAAGGUAAUCUUGAAAUAUAUCCAUUCACUUUGAAUACAGGAAAAUUAAUCUCAGGGAUAAUAAAAUUUACUUUGACUUUCAAUAAGCACCAGUUACCAGUAAUGAUAUCCUCUUCAGAAAGAUCGAGUACUUCAGCUUACACUCUGGUUAACCCUUUCACCCAAGUAAUCCUCACACACUUGUUUUUUAGUUCCCCACAUGAAACUUUCAUCCAAUACAUUUGGUUUUAAUUCUAGGAACAGAGGGACAUUCACAUAUUGAUAGUUUCAAAUAUUUUCUCACUGAGAAGCUUGUCAAUCUCUCUCUCUAAUUUUAAUUUGCUUGCAUAAGGCACUGGUCUUAUCUUGAAGAACUAUGGUGGAACAUUGAGAUUGACUUUGAUGCCUGCAAUGUGCCCAGCUCAUUUUGAGAAUCUACUGUCUUCGAAGUGCCACUUGUAAUAUCCCAGCCUCGCCCACCUUUGCACGAUGACAUAUUUCUCCAAUCCAAUAAAUUUCUUUUGGCUAUUUUCUUCUCAACAUGUUUGGUCUAAAGCCUGCAAUAGCAGUUGAUGAUCUUUGGUAUUUUGUGGUUGCACCCACGAUUCCAGCUGUUUCGAUGUUCAAGUGCAGCAUUUUGUACCUGGCUCAUCAGUGUAACUCUGCGUUCAUCUAGUGUUGCUUAAAUGUCACCUGAUGUUUAUCAUCAUAACAACAGUCAAGAGUCUUCUUGUAAAGAGAGAGCCCUUUACAUCGAACACGAUAACACUUCCUCUAUUGUACAGUCUUCAUUUGCUUCAUCUACAUGUGGAUGAUGGAAAAUGGAAAUAUUGAGCACCUUCCUUUUGUUUCGAGUUUAUGCUGAUUUGUACAAGCCCUGGUCUUUUAACACACAAUUCUCACAACAUUCUUCUGAAUCAGCAAACAGCCAGAACAUACUUCUCCCAUAGAAUCUAGUCUUUCUUUAUCCUUUGAAAGUGAUGUUCAGAUAACUUCAAACAACUCCUGACUGACUUUAUUU
Long non-coding RNA from Hypanus sabinus (Atlantic stingray), 1919 nucleotides. RefSeq lists it as uncharacterized. The transcript has 4 exons. NCBI's taxonomy places the organism in Eukaryota, Metazoa, Chordata, Chondrichthyes, Myliobatiformes, Dasyatidae. The record is from RefSeq and is a predicted model, not a curated record.